GGGCUUACUGUUUUUUAACAUUUUUAUUUUCUUUUCAGGAUAGUACGAACAUGAUUAACUAAGCAAACUAUUUAAAAUAAUUGAAAGGAAAAGAUAACUACCAAGUUUACCUCUUGGCAAGGCGUUCGGUGUUUUUAAGUCCUCCGAACGGGACUCUCCGUUUUCUCAGUCGUCAUAGGAUUCGUUGGAUGGCGUAGUCGGUGAUUCCGGCGGCGCCUCCUCUUCAUGUAUAACUAUCUUCUCUCUCCACACCUGAUUCGGUGCUACGGUCUCCUCAGGAUAAUUCUAUUCAACCUGUAUGUCUUCGGACCUUACCACUUCUCCUUCAUAGUCUGCCCAUCCGUCCUUAAUGAUUUGCCUCCUCUGGUUGCGGUUGCGUCGUCUUCUUCUUAUCCUGACCUGCUUAGAGUCUUCAAUUAUAUAGUUAGGGUUAGUAAAAUAGCGGCGUACCUUCUCUGAGGGGAAGUGCAUGUGGACUUCUCCGAUUCCAAUGUAGAUGAUUGCUUUAACAGUGCUGAGGAAAGGUCUCCCAAGGAUGAUGGAUGGAUCGUACUCAUCUUCUCCCAUGUC
Molecule: long non-coding RNA, 570 nt
Filed under: Sorghum bicolor (sorghum)
Lineage: Eukaryota; Viridiplantae; Streptophyta; Magnoliopsida; Poales; Poaceae
Description: long non-coding RNA (SBIC_LNC012860)
Source: RNAcentral